AUUGAACGCUGGCGGCAUGCUUUACACAUGCAAGUCGAGCGGCAGCGCGGGGGCAACCCUGGCGGCGAGCAGCGAACGGGUGAGUAAUGCAUCGGAACGUACCCUGGAGUGGGGGAUAACGCCGCGAAAGCGGCGCUAAUACCGCAUAUGCUCUGAGGAGGAAAGUGGGGGACCGCAAGGCCUCACGCUCUGGGAGCGGCCGAUGUCCGAUUAGCUAGUUGGUGGGGUAAAGGCUUACCAAGGCGACGAUCGGUAGCUGGUCUGAGAGGAUGAUCAGCCACACUGGGACUGAGACACGGCCCAGACUCCUACGGGAGGCAGCAGUGGGGAAUUUUGGACAAUGGGGGCAACCCUGAUCCAGCCAUGCCGCGUGAGUGAAGAAGGCC
This 386-nucleotide ribosomal RNA is filed under the name uncultured bacterium. RNAcentral's name for it is "bacterial SSU rRNA". It matches the Rfam family "Bacterial small subunit ribosomal RNA", at positions 29 to 416 of the family's 1533-position model. The record is from RNAcentral.